This 936-nucleotide long non-coding RNA is filed under the name Vulpes vulpes (red fox). RNAcentral describes it as "lncRNA (ENSVVUG00000020475.1)". The record is from RNAcentral. Lineage: Eukaryota; Metazoa; Chordata; Mammalia; Carnivora; Canidae.
CAUCCUUCUAGGUGGUAAAACUUAGGCAAAGCAGAAUUCUAGGGGACAGUGUUAAGAUCUGUGUUCUGAAGAGGAAAAUGGCUGGAGGUAGAUUUUUGAUUCUCUCUCAUUCUCUUUUCCUCAGUCUUUUCUGGCCAGUAUAUACAUCAGCUCCUAACAGUGGAUCAUUAAGGAUUAAGGAUUAAUUUAAUCAUUAAGGAUUAAAAAUUUGUUCCUGUAAAUGUUUCAGUUGUCCAAGCAAUCAUCCACCAUCUGUCAAUCUGAGUGAGACUCACUUGUCUUGGAAACUGAAGCCUGGUAUUUAUAUAUUGCAGCGUCAACGAUCAAGUCAGAUGAUCCAAAGGCUGAUAAAGUGCCGAGUCUCAUAUGAAAUUUUUACUCUGAACAAAACUACACAAAAUAUAUCUAGAACAACCAGAGACAGUCAUGGAUUUUUAUUGCCAAAAAAAUAUUACCCACAUUUUCACUCUACUUCCGUGUGCCUCUUCUGAUUUAUUACCUACCCUUCUCAUCUCACCUUCUCAGACAAGUUGACUUGCACCAGUUGACAACUUUGCCCUCUCACCUUCCUUGUUUUUGACCAAUGGAUGGCAUCAGAAGACAGGGCAAAUGGAUGAGGCAUGUAUUUCCUAGUUUCUUCCUGAGGCAGCCUGCAUCUAUGACUUGGGGACGAGAUUAUGGAAAUAGAGGCAACUCUGCAGUUCAACAUUUCUUAAAGAUCCCAUCAGGACAUCCUGAGUGGCUGCUGCAGCUCUGUCUGGAAAUGGUAUGUACCUGCCAUCAGAAUGAAGCCACAUGGUCUUUGCUUCUUCACAUCACUAACUUGCCAUUCAGAUCUGAACUGCUGAAAAACCUGGCAGAAAUAGAACUUUGACAACGCAGAAAGCAUUGGAAGUCCAGUGGAAAAAUAAAACAAUUUUGCUGAAAUUAGCUUCA